UCCAGACUCCUACGGGAGGCAGCAGUGGGGAAUAUUGCACAAUGGGGGAAACCCUGAUGCAGCAACGCCGCGUGAGUGAGGAAGUAUUUCGGUAUGUAAAGCUCUAUCAGCAGGGAAUAGAAAAGAAGGUACCUGAAAAAGAAGCCCCGGCUAACUACGUGCCAGCAGCCGCGGUAAUACGGAGGAUGCGAGCGUUAUCCGGAUUUAUUGGGUUUAAAGGGUGCGUAGGCGGACAGUCAAGUCAGCGGUAAAAAUGCGGGGCUCAACGCCGUACAGCCGUUGAAACUGGCAGUCUUGAGUGGGCGAGAAGUAUGCGGAAUGCGUGGUGUAGCGGUGAAAUGCAUAGAUAUCACGCAGAACCCCGAUUGCGAAGGCAGCAUGCCGGCGUCCGACUGACGCUGAAGCACGAAAGCGUGGGGAUCGAACAGGAUUAGAUACCCGCGUAAA
This 447-nucleotide ribosomal RNA is filed under the name uncultured bacterium. Its description in RNAcentral is "bacterial SSU rRNA". It matches the Rfam family "Bacterial small subunit ribosomal RNA", at positions 330 to 794 of the family's 1533-position model. The record is from RNAcentral.